UAACAAGCUCCCGUGCUGCUAGAGAAAGUCCUCAGCUAGAAACUGGUGCAAAUUCUGGAGAUGAGACCUUGUAGAGUGUUAAGAAUGGUUUUCUUCCCAGCAGCUACAGGGCAGAGAAGACCCAGAGAAAGCCCAAGUGGCUGCUGGAACACAGUCAGACACCGUGCCACCUGUCCACACUCCUUGGCUCUGCCAUCAUGCUGAAGAUCGCUUUAAAGGACUGGCUUCCCUCCCCCCAAAAUGAAUAGAGCACAGACUGAGAAACUGAAUGUGGGAGACAGCAGUGGAUUAUGCUGUUCUCAGGGGUCACCUCAGGUUUGGAAGCAUUCUUUCAAAUUAACCCAUCUCAGGCCAUCUGCAGAGAAGAAAGGUGGUACCUAACUUUUUUCUUGUCAGCAUUUGGUAGGGGUGUUUUAUUGACCAAAUAUGUUCCCACAACCUAGUUUUUUGUGAGUAACUAAAUAUAGUAGAGUUUUAAAUUUUAUCAUCAAAAUCUAUAGACAAUUUUUGAUGAAAAUAGACUCCAUCUCUAUGUCCUGCUUUUCUUCUUCUUAUUAAUUACAUUGCUGUAUAAAAGAACAAGACUUCAGAAUCAAGAAUAUCUUGUCUCUUGGCAUUGAAUUUAUACAAGGUGCUCUUUCUUUAAUGCUGUCUCAAAGGACAUAUUUUUACUCAUUAAAAAGGAAGAUCGGAAUCUAGUUGUAUGCGCUGCUCCAACAUAUUAAUAAUUAAAAUUAGGAGGUAAAUGUGGUCAAAACUAUAGAAAGACUGAGAUGUCAUUUAUAUUGAUUGCUGUAUAGCAUUCUACAAACAGAAAUUGUUAAAUAAGUUUAUAUAAAUAUUUUGUAGCAUUUCAAAUAUUUGAGUGCUUGACGUUUCUCCUCUUCUAUAGUUCAGAUUAUCAAUUUGAAGACUUACUCCGCUAGUUAAAAUGUUUUUAGUCUCGUUCGAGUAUUAUAUAAAAGCAAUUUUCAGUUAAAUGUGUUCCGCUUACAUACAACAUUACAAAUUAUUGAGGAUUUAAUUACUUAUUCAUGUUCCUGUAAUAUCUUUAGAAGAUUUUCUUAUUAUUACCUAUCAAUAUAUGUAUGCUUUGUCAAAGAAAAAUCAAACAUAUAUAUCAUUGAAAUUGAAACUUUUUAAAAGUACUUAUUAAUUCUAUUGAAAAACCACAUCCAUAGGAACAAUUACAAUAUAAUAUUGUGAACAUGUAAACAUAUACCCUAUGUCUAUUUUAUGUAUAAGCAUGUAUGAUUAAAAAUAUAGUGAAGAAUUUUUAAACCUAGUAUUAUAAAGUAAAAAUUAGUUAACUUCUGAUGAUUAUUUGUUAAUUAAGAUAAAAUUAUUUUGAUUUGGGUGAUUUUAAAUAAAGAAAAAUAUUAAAUUACAUGACAAAAAUUCUUUAUAAAAUGUUUAUGAUUUUUACAUUGGUUUUAUCACUUUUUCCACUAUUUUAUUUUAAGAUGACCUGCCUUGUUUAAAACACUGUAUUCAUCUUAAUUAAAUUAGAUUCCAUUUGUAAAAUAAUUAACAAAUGAUUUGCUCUAUUUUACAGUGCGGUUAUAAACUGAGUCAGUAUCUCAAGAUUUGAUCCCCAUUAUCAUCAUCUGUGGCCCUAUUUGUUUUAUAAAUGUAUUGUCUUUUUCCAUGCCUGUCACAUCUCUAUUGCUUUUUCAUUUUUCUCUUUGUCCCUUAUAGGGAGCAUUGCCUAUCUCUAGAUUAAGCAAAGGUUGCAUCAUAAAAAAGCACAAUAACCUGCUCAAUCUUUCUCACACAGAGAAAUGUUUGUUAAGUAAUUAAAGUGUAGAUGAUGAUACAAAGACCUUGAUUAAAUUAGAUAACAAAGUACCCUUGUGAUUCAGAAUAUGAAUGGUAUUUAAUUUCUUUGAAAUCAUUAAUUGCUGAGUGACAUUAAUUAAUGCCAAUUUUCCAGAAGAUGUUCUAGUUAAUGAAAUGUAUACAACGAAAAGCACAAUAACCUGCUCAAUCUUUCUCACACAGAGAAAUGUUUGUUAAGUAAUUAAACUGUAGAUGAUGAUACAAAGAGCUUGAUUAAAUAAGAUGCCAAAGUACCCUUGUGAUUCAGAAUAUGAAUGGUAUUUAAUUUCUUUGAAAUCAUUAAUUGCUGAGUGACAUUAAUUAAUGCCAAUAUUCCAGAAGAUGUUCUAGUGAGUGAAAUGUAUACAACGUGCAAAAGAUUCAGAACUCUGAAGGGCAACAUUAUUCUAUAAUUAAGAAUUAAGAAUUAAUUCACAUCAGUUAUUGGGGAGAAAUAAUUUUUAAGAAUUAAUGACUGAGAAAAUGUUAUUUUUUACUUAGAAAAUUAUUUUGUGCAUGAGCAUUACCGCAAGUUUUGCAAGAAACAUAAAUUUAAAGAAACAAUUAUGUGCACAAGAUGAAUUUAAUAACAUCUUGAUAUAUUCCAUGAUUGCGGUUUUAUUUGGUAAAUCUUUAAAUGCACACCAUUUAAUGAUAAUAAAUGAAUCUUGGAAAUCUUGUAGGUAAGGGUAAAUAUUAGGAUGCAUCCAGUUACAUUUACACACACAUACAUGCAUACAGACUGAUUCACGUGUGUAUAUAUAUAUAUAUGAAUUUACCAAUUGAUGUUAACUAAUAUUUAUAAGAGCCAGUUGGAUUGAUAUAUAUUGUUGAACCUGAAAAAUAUUUAUUAUAUACAUGUUUAAAAUACACACAGAAAUAAAUAGCAAUUGCACUAGGUAUUUGAAACUGUACUAAAAUAUAAGCUGUGAACAUUUUGUGAUCAUUACAAAUUCUUACACUGAAUAAAUAUGUUUAUUUUUACAAUAUUAAUAUGUUUGAUACCUGUGUACAUUUUUUACAAUGUGUUAUUUUAUUUUUGUCAUAGAGUCAUGUCAUGCAUAAUAACAUUUUAGUCAAAGAUGGAUUACAUAUACAAAAGUGGUCCCAUGAGAUUAUAAUAUAUAUUUUUACAUACUUUUCUACGUUUAAGUAUGUUUAGAUACAUAACCUCUUACCACUGUGCUCUUAUUGCCUGCAGUAUUCAGUAGAGUAAUGUAGUACACAGAUUUGUAGCCUAGGAGAAAGAGGCUAUACCAUAUAACCUAAACGUGGUAGGCUGUACAAUCUAGGUGUUUGUAAUAUUCUCUGUGAUGUUUGCAAAAUGAUGAAAUUGCCUAUGAAUACAUCUGUUAAAACGUAUCCCUAUCAUUCAGUGAUGUGUGACUGUACUAAAAUGCUCAAUGUAAGUUUCAAUGCCCUCCAUAAAAUUGUUGUACUGUGAAAUACAAAUCUCUCACCCAUGGCCUGAAUAUGUUUGCAAACUAAGCAGAUCAUGGGAAGGAGAAUGUGCUGGCAUCGCUGGGAUGAUUUUCUCACACUACAUGAAUAAUAUCUACAGACUUCGUGAAUAUGAGCCACUUGCAUAGAGUUAAAGUAGACGUCUCUUUGCUGGGAAAUUUAUCAAAUGGGAGUAUGAAGUGUUUUUACAAGAUACUUGUUUGUUUGUAGCUGGUAGGCCUACAGUGGCUCAUGGCAAUGGUUGAGGUUGCUAAGAUUUGGUGGAAGAAGGCAAAAUGAGAUGGCCACUUAUAUGGUAUAUGGAUCACUUGUUUCUGUUGAGUUACAAACUCAGCUGGCUAUUUCUCCAAUGUUAGUUAUUUGGAGAAAAAAAAACGUGAUGGUAAUUUUGGGGUAACAAAUACAAUAUUUGAUGAAAGCAAAUUUAUUGAGGGUUAGACAAACUACAAGAUACUUUAGGCUGCAAAGUCAACACGAGACUUCUGGCCCAAAUUGUGAAGAGUUUGCGUCCAGCUGCACAGUUCAAAGGAAGAGGCCAUGUAAGAAGAUUCUCACUUCUGACACCAACUGCCAGUUCAGGGGUUUCCCCUGAACACCCUCAGUUUCAAGAGUUUACUAGAAAGACUCACAGAACUCAUUGAAUGCCACUGUACUCAUGGUUUAUAAUAGAGAAAGGGUAGAAAUUAGGACCAAUAGAAGAGACAUAUCAUAUAAGGUGGAAUCUAGGAGAUUUUGAAUGUUAAGUUUCCAUUGUCUUCAGGACAUAUUACCUGUCACUGUUGUACAGCAACAAACAUGGAGUACUACCAACCUGGGGAGCUCACCUGAUGCUAACAAGACACUAUUUACAAAAUGAAAAGACAAAUGAAAGGAUGAGAUAAGAUGACGUUCCACAUUAAGGCACUGGAACGAUUAGCAAACUAAACCUAAAGCAAGCAGAAGGAAGAAAAUUAAAAUUAGAGAAAUUAAUAAUUUAUAACAAUAAUAUUUGUUAGUGUUGAAUAAUUGAUAUUACUUCUUGACUAGCUUUUUUAAAAAAGAGAAAUAUUCACUUCCCAAUUUAUUCUGUGGGGCCAGUGUUACUUUGAUACAAAAAUUAGUCCAAAUAGCAUAGAAAAAUAAAACUACUAUAAGUAUAAAUGCAAACUUCCUUAAAAAAUACUAACAAAUCAGAUCUAGCAACAUAUAAAAGAAUUAUACACUAUGACAAAGUGAAAUUUAUACAAGUAAUCCCAGGUUGGUUUAACAGCCCAAAAUCCAUUAAGGUAAUACAUCUUAUCCAUAGAAUAAGAAACGAGAAUUGCAUGAUCACGUCGAUAGAUUCGGAAAAGACAUUUAACAGAAUCCAAAUGCUUUAAUGACUAAAAAUAAAAAUAAAAACUCAAUGAACCAGGAAUAGAGAACUUUCUACACCUGAUAUAUGGCACCUGUGAAAAGCCAACAGCAAGCAUGCAACUUAAUGGUAAAGGAUGCUUUCCCGCUAUGGUGAGAGAUAUAUACUUUGAUAGGAUAUAUACUUUGACCUCUUCUAGUCAACACUGUACUAAAGAUUUUAUGCAGGGCAAAUCGGCAACUAAAAAAAUAAGAGUCACCCAUACUGAACAGGAAGAAAUAAAACUUUAUUUGAAAAUAACAUUCUUGUAUAUAGAAAAUUUUAAGGAAUCCACCGAACGAUAGAACUCGUAAAUUAUUUCAGCAAUAUUACAGCAAACAAGGUAAAUGUACAAAAAUCAAUUUCACACAUCUGCAAUGAAAACCCCAAAAUGAAUUUAAGAAAACACUUCAAUUUAAAAUAGCAUCAAAAAAAGAAAUAAUAAUUAAUUUGGAAAAUGUGAUACAAGAUUUUCCUCUGAAAAUUAAAAAUUAUUGUUUAAAGAAUAUUUAAAUAAUUAGCAAACACCUUACACCCAUGAAUUGGACUAUUUAAUAUUGUAGUACUUUACAAUUUGAACUACAGAUUUGAUGAAAUCCCUGCAAGUAUCCCAACAGACUUCUGUCUAGAAACUGACAAGCUGAUUCUAAAAUACACAUGGAAUUGUAAGGGACUCAAAAUAGCCAAAAUAAUCUUAAGAAAAGAAAACAUGUUAGGAUAAUUCACACCCCCAUGCUCCAAACCUUACUGCAAAGUAUCGGUAAUCAAGACAACACAAUACUGAUGAAGGAAAAAUAUAUAGAUUGAUGGAAGAUAAUUGAGAGUCCAUAUAUAAAACUAUGUGUCUACAGUCAAUGGAUUCUUACAGUGGUACCAUGUGCAAUUCAAUGAGGAAGAGACAGUCUUUGAACAAACUGGGUCAACAAAGUACACAUGGAUCACCACUUGCAAAAUAAUAAAUUCGAACCCUUACCCCAAAGCAUACAAAAAUAUUAACUCAAAUGAAUUAAAGACACACAUGCAAGAGGUAGAAUAAAGCAUAUGGGAAAGUCUUCAGGAUUUUGGAUCUAGCAAAGAAAUAGCUGUAACCCCAAAAACAUGAGCAACAAAAUAAAAAUUAGAUAUUUAAAAUUUCUUAAAAAUUAAAGACAUUGGUGUUUCAAAGGACAAACAAGCAAGUCAAAAGGCAGCUCAAAAAUUGUGAGAAGAUAUUUGAAAAACACGUAUCUAUAUGUCUGUAUAUAUAUAUGUAUCUUGAAUAUAGAAAAAUUGUUUUAACUCCGUCACAAAUAUCCCAACUCAAAACUGAUAAAUGAUAGGAAUAGAUGUGUUUCCCAAGAAGAUACACGAACGGUCAAUAAUCCCAUAAAAAUAUACUCAAUAGCAUCACUCAUCAGGCAACUACAAAUCAAAACCACAGUUAGAUACUCUAUGGGUAGAACUGGCCACCUUGGAAAAUAAUUUGAUGGCUUCUAAAUAUAUGAAACAUAGAAUUGUCAUAUGACCCAGAAAUUUAUUCCUAGGUAUACACCCAGAUUAUUGGAAAGAGGUGUUCAAACACAAAUUGUACACAAGUAUUUUUAGCAGCAGUAUUUAAAAUAGCCAAAGGCUGAACACAACUCAAAUGUCAAUAAAAAUAUUAUUGGAUAAACAAAAUGUUAUAUCCAAGAAAUUGAAUGUUAUACAGUUAUAAAAAGAAAUAAAGUACCAAUACGUACAUGAACCUUGAUAGCAUUAUGCCAACUGAAAGAAGCCAGGCAGAAAAGGCCACCUAUUGUAUGAUUCUAUUUAGAUGAAAACAGACUAGGAAAAUCUAUAGAGACAGAAAACAGAUUUGUGGUUGCUUAGGAUUGAGUAGGGGAUGGGUGCAUAGGAGGUUAACAGCUAGGGAAGGUGGGGUUUCUUUUUGAAGUGAUGAAAAUGCUCUAAAAUUCAUUGUGAUGAUGGCUCCACUUAUCUGUGCAUAUACUAAAAGCCACUGACUUGUAGACAUUAAUGUGUGCACUCUACACUAUGUAAAUUAUAUCUCAAUAAAUCCUUUCAAAAAUACACAGAAGAGUAAGGGGUUUUGGAAUGCUGCAGCUGGGAGGCAGUUUGAAAUACUGAAUAGGCCUCAUCGAGAAUGUGAAGUUUCAGUAAAGACUUGAGGAAGUUGAAUGAGCUGAUCAAUGGAUAUAUGGAGGGCUAUCUUUCCAAGCCAAGAAAUUAACUAGAGUCUUGACCAUAAGGCAGCAGCAUGUUGGCAUGUCCAGAGGACAGUGAGGUGGCCAGGACCACUGGUAAGAUCAAGGGUGAAGAUAUAAAAGAAUUUUGGCAGUUAACAUGUGGCAGAUGAUGAUGGGCUUGCAGAUCAUUGUAAGAAAUGUUGUUUUGGCCGGGCGCGGUGGCUCACGCCUGUAAUCCCAGCACUUUGGGAGGCCGAGGCGGGUGGAUCACGAGGUCAGGAGAUCGAGACCAUCCUGGCUAACAAGGUGAAACCCCGUCUCUACUAAAAAUACAAAAAAUUAGCCGGGCGUGGUAGCGGGCGCCUGUAGUCCCAGCUACUCGGGAGGCUGAGGCAGGAGAAUGGCGUGAACCCGGGAGGCGGAGCUUGCAGUGAGCCGAGAUCGCGCCACUGCACUCCAGCCUGGGCGACAGAGCGAGACUCCGUCUCAAAAAAAAAAAAAAAAAGAAAAAGAAAUGUUGUUUUUAGUGUACAUGAAAUGGGGAGACAAAUCAUUAUCCCAUUAUCAAUAUUUUAAUAAAUUGGAUCCAUGAACCAAAUCCAAUGAGAUUAAAUCAAUUAAUAAUAAUAUGCAAAUUUGUAUUAAAAUUAAAAGAAUUACUUGCACAUUUGAGAACAGGAGAGACAUGAUUUUUAUCAGCAAUAAUAAACAUUAUUAAUUUUAAUUGUGAUCAGCUAAUUGAGAUUAAUUGCAAUACAUCAUGCUUUAUAAUGUGACUGCCAAAAGGAAAAUAUGAUUGUAAUCUUAUACUACAUCUAUCAAUGUCUUUUAUACAUAAGAGUAUAGAGUAAGCCCGUAGUUUUCAAAGCCAACCUAUGAAGCAGUGACAUCUUAUGCAAGUUUGCUGCUUUCUGCCACAGUGAUCCUUGGUCAGCGGGCACAAAUUGUUUUACAAACGCCCCCUAGGUCUAAAAGUAGUUUGGAUCACAAUGAACACAGAAACACCUUCAUCCCUUCAGAAAUACCUAUCAAUUACUUCCAAUACAGAAUGAAAAAUUGACAAAGGAAAUAUGUGGAUUGUAAAAAUGCCAGUUAGCUUGCAACUACAUGAAAGAAAAAUGCCAUUUUUAUUACAUUAGGUCAUUGUUUCACAUGAGUUUUGGUAUAGCAAAAUGUUGAACCAAGGGAAAAGAGACAUGAAUUAAUGAAGUCUUAAGAUAUCAAGAAUUUGAAAGAAAAGGCAGGUCAUCUUUGAAGGUUAGUGACAUAGCAUUCAUCUUCUGUUGUCACCUUUCCUGUCAUUCCCUGUAUGCCUGAUGGACAGGUUUCACUCAAGUUCAGAGAACAGCAUGCAAAAUUAGCUAUCAAUUAAUCUUUAGGAAGUGAGCUGCAUUUCUAGCCAGACUGAGCUUACGUUUUAGCAGGAAGCAUUUUUGGGAAAUGUUUAUGUUAGAGUUGGCCCUUCUUGACAAGGUGAGACAUAAAUGUCUACUUUAUAGACAUGAAUUAAGAUGGGAAGAUAUUUGGGGGAAUCAUUUACUCAAACGCUAAAUAAUAAAGGUACACAAAGGGCAAAUUAUACUAGAUUUCUUUCCCACUUGUUUUCUAUGUCUCAUGCAAUUCACCUUGAUUCCCUUCAGUUUCUGUUUAAUGUAGAAAGUGGCAUUUUCAUUAUUUUAAGCUUCUAGCACAAUGAAAGAAUUUCUCUUUUUCAUGAACAGGAUCAUACAUGAAAAGGAGGAAGAGUGUCCUAUAUCAUAUUUAUUGUUCAACAAAACACUGCUCCACGGCUUAAAUUCAGUUUAAGAAAGAGAAUUUGUUGAACAUCUAACACAUACAUAAAAGGCAGUAAAGACACAUGAGAAGAGGGCAGGAUAUUGAAGUAUACAGACUUCAAUGCUGAGUUUUAUAUCUUAGGGAGUUACUCCACCUUACAGAGGCUCAAUUUCCCCUGAUUUAGGAAGGCGAUGCUAAUGGGUAUUGCAUAGGUGUAAGUAUAAAAAUGUUGUAUUGAAGAGAAUCCCACAAGCUUGGUAUAAGGCCGAAAAUAAAUUGAUGUGACAUGAAUAAGUAGUUUAUUACAUUUGUAUGCUACCUGCAGACUAGAGGAAGCAAGAAACACAGCCACUAUGCUUGAUUAGCAUUAUAGGGAUGGUACAAUGAUUGUUGCCAGAAGCUGGAGGGAGGAAGAAAUGGGGAAGUAUUGUUUAAUGGGUAUAGAGUUUCAGUUUUACAAGAUGAAACGAAUUAUGGAGAUGGAUGGUAGGGACGGCUGCACAAUGUUAUGACUAUAUUUAGUACCACUGAACUGUACACUUAAAAUGGUUAACCGAGUACAUUUUAUGUUAUGUGUAUUUUACCACAAUAAAAAAAUAAAAUACCUUAGGAACAUUUUCAUGAAAAAGCCCACAUAAAAUUCAUUUUAAUGCACGUGUUUAUGCAUAGCUUUCUAUUUUUCUCUUUUCCCUUUACAUUCCUAAUUCUAAUCAGAGAAGGGAAUCCCCUCUGUACCUCCAGGAUAUUCAGUAAAGACCACUGGAGGUUCAUGCCCUAGUGACAGUGCUCAUUUAGCUCCAAAUUACAGAUGGCUCUAGACUAACUCAACAAAGCUUAAAGAGAAGAUUUAAAACAACAACAGACAAAUACUCAUCCUGAAGUUACUGAACUGCCUGCCACAACAUUGUUCAAAGGUAGCCAAUCAAAUCUAGAUAUUCAAUAGCAUAACAUCAAAAUACCCAAAAAAAACUCUGAAAUGCAAAGAAGCCGUAAGAUAUAUAUAAUUAAGAUAUAUAUUAACAGGAUAAAAAUAAGUCAUUUAUAAAUGACAAAAAAGAAGGAAAUUUCAAGGUUCUUAAAGUAAAUAUAUUUUAUAAAUACAUAUAGAUAAAUACAUAUAUAUGUCAAGGUACUUAAAUGAAAAUUAAACAUAGGAGAAAAAUAGAAGUUAUAAAAUGAAAAAGUGACAUAUAUAGAUGAAAAAUAAAUAUUUGAAAUAAAAAUUCCAUGACAUAGAAUAAGUAAUGGAUUUUACCCUAACAUCAGAAAAUUUAUAGAACAAAUUAGAAGCAUUACAAACUAAAGGACAAAUGGUAAACUAAAAUAAGAAAACCAGAAACUCACUGAUACGUCAGACAAUAUGCAUCAGUGUAACAUACAUGUAAUCAACAUCUCAAAAAGGAUGGGUGGGGUAAUUAUAGGUGAAUAAAGAAUGGUACACUCAUUCCUGAGGGCACCGAGGAGGGAGGAUAGCUUUAGAUUUCUAAGGGAGGGUAUUAUCCAUUCAUGAAGGUCCAACCCCAUGACCAAACACCUCCCAGUGAGCCCCACCUGCAACAUUGGGGAUCAAAUUUUAACAUGAGUUUGGAAGGGGCAAGCAUUCAAACCAUAGCAAGAGUUAAAUUUCCUUUUUAAGAAAAUCACUGAUAUGAUUCCACUUCGCCAUAGAUAAAAACUAGUAUUUCAGCCUACCGUUGAGUGUGCUUAUAGCUCACCAAAAGGGCACUCUGUCUCGGGAAUACAGAUUUGCCUACAGGUAUCCUAUUGCAGUCAAAGAAAGAGCAAUGAGGGAUAGAAAAGGUUAGUGAUGGAGACACCAGCGCUGCAUUUUGCAACAAACAAUGUAAAAACUUUACGGAUUGGUUCUGCUAACUUACUACAGUUUACAUGCCUCUCAGGUGGGAGAAUUGUUGCGUUUUUUCUUAAGAUAGAAAAGCAAUUCAGAUAAUCUGAAAUCUCCACAAGAAGGAUAAGAAGCACAGCAGAAACUAUUCUAGGCAGGAAGUCAAUCCUUUCAACUGUCUGUGCUCCAUAGAAACAAUUGUCUGCACUGGGAGUCAUAUGAGGUACAGACAACAGCCAGACUUCUGAUCCUCUCAUUAGUGAUUUCAGAAGAAAUUACCAGUCAACUGAGUAACUCACUGAGUAUAGUAAACAUUUGGCACUGAAAGAGGUUAGACGGAUAACUAUUUGUAUCACCAUAUUCAUGAAGCUGGAAUAUUUUCCAUUACUGGUAUCACAUCCGAAUGGAAGAUGUUAAAAGGUCUCUCAUCAUGUAAGAUAGAUAUGAAAGAACAUUUUCUGAGAAAUGAAAUUAUUAACACACCUGUGAGGUGCAUGGAAGAGAAAAAAAGAAUAAUCACCUUGAGUUCUUCUCCUUGAUAAGAGAACUCACUAAAAACAUAAAGAGAAAAAUACAAGUUUAAAAUAAUUAACCAGAAGAAGACGACUCUAGAGAUUUUAAAUUGCUGAUAAGAUUUUAAUUUGCUCCAAGUUGAAAAUAAUUAUAUUGCUUGUGUUUUAAGGCACAUAAUGAGCAAUUAUAUCACACAUGAUAGUUUCAGCAGUAAAAUAUGAUCCG
RNAcentral lists this long non-coding RNA (11173 nucleotides) under Homo sapiens (human). RNAcentral describes it as "HSALNT0230002". The record is from RNAcentral. Lineage: Eukaryota; Metazoa; Chordata; Mammalia; Primates; Hominidae.